UACGUAGGGUGCAAGCGUUAUCCGGAAUUAUUGGGCGUAAAGAGCUCGUAGGCGGUUUGUCGCGUCUGCUGUGAAAACCUAAGGCUCAACCUUGGGCUUGCAGUGGGUACGGGCAGACUAGAGUGCGGUAGGGGAGACUGGAAUUCCCGGUGUAGCGGUGAAAUGCGCAGAUAUCAGGAGGAACACCGAUGGCGAAGGCAGAUCUCUGGGCCGUAACUGACGCUGAGGAGCGAAAGCAUGGGGAGCGAACAGG
Molecule: ribosomal RNA, 253 nt
Filed under: uncultured bacterium
Lineage: Bacteria
Description: partial 16S ribosomal RNA
Rfam family: Bacterial small subunit ribosomal RNA
Source: RNAcentral